GAUGAACGCUGGCGGCGUGCCUAAUACAUGCAAGUCGAGCGAACGGACGAGAAGCUUGCUUCUCUGAUGUUAGCGGCGGACGGGUGAGUAACACGUGGAUAACCUACCUAUAAGACUGGGAUCACUUCGGGAAACCGGAGCUAAUACCGGAUAAUAUUUUGAACCGCAUGGUUCAAAAGUGAAAGACGGUCUUGCUGUCACUUAUAGAUGGAUCCGCGCUGCAUUAGCUAGUUGGUAAGGUAACGGCUUACCAAGGCAACGAUGCAUAGACGACCUGAGAGGGGGGUCGCCCGCAUUGGAACUGAGACAGGGUCCAUGCGCCUACGGGAGGCAGCAGUAGGGAAUCUUCCGCAAUGGGCGGGAGCCUGACGGAGCGACGCCGCGCGAGUUGUGAAGGUCUUCGGUUCGUGAUACUCUGUUAUGGGGGAAGAACAUAUGUGUAAGUAACUGUGCACAUCUUGACGGUACCUGAUCAGAAAGCCACGGCUAACUACGUG
This 497-nucleotide ribosomal RNA is filed under the name uncultured bacterium. RNAcentral's name for it is "partial 16S ribosomal RNA". It matches the Rfam family "Bacterial small subunit ribosomal RNA", at positions 28 to 507 of the family's 1533-position model. The record is from RNAcentral.